UCAUUGCUUAGUUGGUAAAAGCACAAGACUCUUAACCUUGUGGACGUGGGUUCAAGCCCCAUGGUGGG
RNAcentral lists this transfer RNA (68 nucleotides) under Triticum aestivum (bread wheat). RNAcentral's name for it is "tRNA_LysCTT". The stretch from base 6 to 62 matches the Rfam family "tRNA", at positions 10 to 63 of the family's 71-position model. From Rfam's summary of the family: Transfer RNA (tRNA) molecules are approximately 80 nucleotides in length. Their secondary structure includes four short double-helical elements and three loops (D, anti-codon, and T loops). Further hydrogen bonds mediate the characteristic L-shaped molecular structure. tRNAs have two regions of fundamental functional importance: the anti-codon, which is responsible for specific mRNA codon recognition, and the 3' end, to which the tRNAs corresponding amino acid is attached (by aminoacyl-tRNA synthetases). tRNAs cope with the degeneracy of the genetic code in two manners: having more than one tRNA (with a specific anti-codon) for a particular amino acid; and 'wobble' base-pairing, i.e. permitting non-standard base-pairing at the 3rd anti-codon position. The record is from RNAcentral. Lineage: Eukaryota; Viridiplantae; Streptophyta; Magnoliopsida; Poales; Poaceae.